AAAAGAAAAAGACAAAUCAAAUUAUAUGUGUUGACAAGAGAGCAUAUAGCAUGAGAGUUGAACGUGUAAAGCAGUUGGGUAAUUUGAAGCAAAAAACACGUGUUUGCAAAGAAAAUCAAAAUCGUAUAUCUUCUUAAUAAAUUAUUAAAGUAAGAAGAGGGGGUGGGGGAAUAAAUUAUCUUGUAAUAUAUGUCAAAACUUGCGUUCACACAUAAUUAACACAUUUAAUGAUCAUAGUUUAUAAUACUCAUCGUCCAUUAUUUUAUAAAUUUUCAUUUUAAUUUGUCACUUUUGAUAUAUUUUCAAAAAGUAAAUCUUUUUUAUAUUUUAUUUUUAGUAUUAAUUAUUUAUUAAUUUCUCAAACUAUUUUUUAAUAUCUAAUACUAAUUAACUAUUAAUUAAUAGGGAUAAUGUGAGAAAAUAAUCAUUUUUAUGUAGAUUUUUGAUAGAAUUUAUUACUAGGUUAAUCCGUUGAAGUUAUUUUUAUUUAUGCAUUCUGAUAGAUAAUUUAUUUUAUUUUCAUUCACAAAUCGCAGGUUUAUUGCUGAAAAGUUAUUUAUUAUUAUAUUCUAAGUAACUUAAUAACGUAAAAAAAUUUAUACUAUCAUAUAAUUUAUAUUAUAUAUAUAAAUAAAAGUUAAACUCUAAUAUACCAAGUAAAUAUAUAUAUUUUCUAUUAGAGUAAUAAUAAAUAAAAUAAUAAUACAUUAAUUUACAUAAUCUCAAAAAUUUGAUGCAAGAGUAGAUAUAGAGUUCACAUUAUAUUUCUUUAGAUAGAGGGUUGUCAUAGUUUUAGCUCAAACUCAAUUAUUAUUUUAAAAGUGUUAUUAAAUAAGUAUAAAUUAUUAAUUUCGAAUCUACCAACUUAAAAAUGGUAAUCCCUUAACGUUUUCAGCUUAGAUAAAUCUAAAAAAGCGUGUGAAACGUCCUUUAAAAAAAAAAUCCAAUUCAACGAUCUAAAAUAAUAUUAACAAGUACAUACAUAUCUUCUACGUAAUUUCUACUUUCUUUGAUUUGACAAUCUCUUUCCUAAAGGGUGCAAUUAAGUCAUGCUAUUCAUACAGCCCCCCACUUUUGACUAUUCAUAAAUACCUUUUUUCCACAACCUUAUAUAUAGGUACACCAAAACCCCCUCAUUGCCUCAUCAAACUCAUCAACUAUAUUGUUCUAUACCCAAAAAAUAAUAAUCAAAGAAACAAACUAAGUCAAGAAUCCAAGUAGAAAAUAGUUGUUACAUUCAAGUUAAUUAGAUAUGAAAGCAGAAGGUUAUUUGUUGUCACUCAAGAUGCUAAACAAGAAUAAUAAUGAAAAUAUCAGCGCGCCUAAACGUGUUAGCAAUGUUGGUGGUUCUCAAGAUGAAAAUAAUUGUAGUACUAAGACAUCAUCGUUGAGGUUGAGAUUCAAGAAUUCGUGUUUGAGGAAGAAAAAGAGAAUAUACAAAUUGCGCAAUUGGUUCAUUGACUCAAUUUUAUUCAAGAUUGCCUCUCUCUUUGAAGCAAUUGUUAUGGUUUCUACCUUAGCUUUCUUCUUAUUCUCUUAUGGUUUUCGUAUUUGAUUCGUAUUUAUAUUUUUAUAUAUAUUCUCUGUAAACCAAGGGUUCAUUAUUAUUGGACAAAAGUUGAUAUCUAAUAGGGGUAUAAGGUUCAUUUGAUUUAUUAAUUUAGUUUUCUUUAUUGAUAUUCUCAUGUUUAUACACUAGGAUUCCCAUUUUGCCGUUUAGUUUUUCGAUUUAGAUAUUUUCAAUAAAAUACAUAAUUCAAUAAAUAAGUAAAUAACAUAUAUAAUGAGAUUUUAACAUCAAAAUAUGAGAUUUUGAUUGGUAAAUGGUAAGAUUUUCAAGAACUCAAAUUUUUAGCUUAAAUGGAGAUUUUGACCUCCAAGUAGGUCCCUUUUCAAAAUAAUUUUUCACCAAUGAGUUUCUAAAGUUUUGAGUAUUGCUUUCAAGUAUUAAAUUUCGGAUUCAAACUUUUCCUUUUGAAAUUGGGUUUGAGUGAGUUGACCCAUUGUGCUAAGCAAUUGAUGUGGGUAUUGUUGUUUCCGGAAAGUGAUUGUGGAUACUUGCUUGUAUAUUGAUUGAUUUAAGACAAGCGAUCUCCUAAACCUUGUAUUCUAGUAGAAUCGUGUAUUCCCUUUGUUGUUUGUGUAUUGGAAAUAAUGGGGAUGGGGUGAAAGGUUAAUUGUCCACUUGAUAAAUCUUAAUGGAUAGAAAGGGUUGAAAUUGAAAAGGUUAUGUGAUGAACAAGAUGAUGUGAAUUGCCUUGUUGUGACCCUUAUUGAUUGAUUGAUGAAAUGCUUGAUAGCAUAAAUGUGGACUUGAUUUGCAUGAAUUAUUGUCUCUUCCAUGUGGUGUGAUAUUGCGUGUGUGCAUUGAUGGUUGAACACUGUGAUGUGGCAUGUGAUGUUUAUGAUUCUGAGGUCAUCGCCGGUGAGUGCUAUUAUUCCUAGGUCAUUUCCGGCAAGUGUUGUGAUUCCAAAGUCAUUUCCGGCUAGAGGAUUGAUAUAAAACCGAUGGAAAAUGGUUCCGGCUAGAGAUAUGGUACCGAUGCUACUUGAUUCGUUUGAUUGUUGAAUUGUGACUAUUGAACUGUAAUUAUUGAGCCUUGCGAGUUGUGCAUUGUAGAACUGCUAGGUUGGGCUGAUUUCUGUGAAAGUUGUAGUAUGAGGAGGUUCGAUUGGAAUGUAAGGGGUAUUCAAUUUCUAGGUAGAUGCCUUGUUUAUUAGGUUGCACUCCUUAUUUCUACACUUGUGUAGGUUCCGAGCCCGGUUUAGCGUGAUCGUCCUUCUUCUCUUACCUUUUUAGGCUUAUCAAAGGACUAUCGAGAGUAACUUUUGUCAUCCCGGCGGGCCCUCUUUUCCUUUUCUUUAAGCUUUGUUCUAAUUGAGAAUCAAAGAUUGAGAUUUGUACUUAUUUCUUAAUUUCACACUUUAUGUAUUUAGUGGUUUGUACACGUGACAACAAGAUUUUGAGGGUUUUAAUAGAAAAAAUAAGUUUUUCUGUUUUAUCUUGUUCUUGCUUUAUUAUUUUCCGCAUUUCUUUCAUUUUCGUUGGGUUGAGACUAACUUGUCUUGGUGGGAAUAUACAAGUGUCCUCGCGUCUAUGUUUGGGUCGUGACAUCAUCAUAGAGUAGUUCCUUAAAUCAUGAUUCAUACAUGUGUGAGAAAACUAUUGACCAAUCAAGAUUUCUUAAUAUGUGAGAAAACAUUUCACAAUUCAUGCAUAUGUGAGAAAACCUUUCAUCGAUGAUUUUCUUAAAGGCAACCUUAAUUCAUAAAACUUAAGCAUAUAGCAUGAGAGUUGAGUAAUUUGAAGGAAAAAAAUGUGUUUGCAACAAAAGUAGAAAUUCAUAUCUUCCCAAUAAAUUAAAUUAGGAAAAAGGAAUAAAGAAGAAUAAAUUAUAGUGUUGACACUAUACAUCUCAACUUAGGUUAGUACAUAAUUAACACAUUUAAUCAUCGUUUAUAAUGUUUUGAACCUGUUAUUAUCAUUUCAAAGUAUAUAGCCGCUAAUAGUACUUAUUAUUAUUAUUAUUAUCAACAAAUUAAAGAGAGGGUCUCCAUAGGCAGAUUUUUGAUAGAAUUUAUUACUAGCUAAUAUCCCCAAGUUAUUUUUAUUUGUUAAUUUAUUACAUAAGAUAAAUUUAUUUUAUUUUCAAAAUAAAAAUCUCACUUUUUAUGAAAAUUAUUUAUAACUAUAUUCUAGAUAACUUGAUGAUAUAAUAAUUUUUUUAAAAUAUAUAUAUUAAUCUAUGAUAUUACAAGUAAAUAUUAUUUUUUUCUAUUUGAGCAACAAAUAGAAUAAAGAUAUAUUAAUUUACACAAUCUCAAAAUUUUGAUGUGAGGGCAGAUAUGGUAAAGUUGAUAAUAUAAGAUAUAACAGUAGUUUUUGUUGGGAAAGGCAAGGCACUAUCAAAGAAUGCUCGGAAGGAUAGCAGCGGAAAAAUAUCAAAGUCUAAACUUUCCCUUACAAUUUGAAUCAAUAGAAGAAAAAACUAAAUCAAUCAAUACGAAGAAUCGACAACAAGUAUAUCAACCAAACAAAAACAAUAAGAUAAGAAUAAAUCAAUCACACAAGACACAAAGAUUUACAUGAAAAACUCUUCGAUGUGAAGAGUAAAAAAUCACAGGACCAAAAGCUCCACUAUAACCCCAAGAGUUGCAAUAUUGUUCUCCAAAAUUGGCCACAAAAGAAGUGCCAAAUAACUAGCAAUAACGAAAUAAGAUUGCACCAAAACUAGAGAAUUAAAGGAGAGAAUCCACUAAAAAAGAGCUAUUGUUCACACCCCAAAAUCAAAAGCUACAGAUAACUAAAUCUAAUCUCCACCGUUGAAAUACAAGAAUUAUAUAGUGAAAACUCCCGGUUCAAAUUUGUGUACGAUCCAACGGUUAACGAAGUGAAGUACUCUGUUUAAAGUGGACUGCCUGUGCAGAAAAUUCCUUGAAGCAAAAACAUGAUUUUUCUCUUUCUCUCAAUCUCUAAAACAACUCUCUCUUGACUUUUUUCUCUCAUUUGUCUCAAAAUAAUACCUAAAUAAGCCUUAUAUAUGCCACAUAAUAUUGGUAUUAUGGGUUAAAGUGGCUGGUCUAAAUAAGACUUUUAUUUAUCCACACCGAAAAGAAAAAAGAUCCUAAAUCCAACAAUUCUCCGCCUCACAACUAUGUGGAGGAGACCGCCAUCCUGGCGAUCAAGCAACAUUCUUUAAACUUCCCUCUUAGCAAAACUUUAGUCAUCAUGUCAGACCCAUUUUCAUCUGUAUGAAUCUUUUCAAACUCAAGCAACUUAGAAUCCAACACAUGUCAAAUCCAAUGGUACCUUACAUCAAUGUAUUUAGACCGACCAUGAAACAUAGAAUUCUUGCCAAGAUGAAUAACUCUUUGACUGUCGCAAUAAAGCACAUACCUCUCUUGAGCACAACUAAGUUUUCCAAAAAUCUCUUCAUCUAGAUCAACUCUUUGCAAGCUUCUACAAAAGCAAUAAGCUCGGCUUCUGCAGAUAAAUCAAAGCAUUUUUGCAACCUAGAUUGCCAUGACACAGCUUCCCUUGCAAAAGUAAUCAAGUAGUCUGAAGUAAACUCACGAGUAUCAACAUUAUCAGCCAUACCAGAAUCAAUGUAACCACAAAUAAAAGGAUUCCCUAUACCAAAACACAAACUAGAAGUGCCACAAAGAUAUCUCAUAACCCACUUCACUGCAUUCCAAUGUUUUCUUCCCAAAUUAGAGAGAAAACGGCUAACAACAACAACAACGUAUGCAAUAUUCGCUCUUGUACAAAUCAUUGCAUACAUCAAACUACCAAAAGCUGAAGCAUAAGAAACUUUCUUCAAAUCUUCCCUCUCAUCAUAGCUAGAAUGACACUGCUGCUUCAUGCUCAAUUUGAAGUGCAUAGCUAAAGGUGCAUUGACAACCUUAGCUUUGUCGAUGUUGAAUCUGCGAAGUACUUUUUAAAUGUACUUCUCUUGUGAUAACCACAACUUCUUGUCCUCUCUGUCACAGACAAUCUGCAUACCAAGAAUCUGCCUUGCUGGUCCCAAGUCUUUCAUAGUAAAAGACUUACUCAACUCUUGCUUUAACUUCUGAAUCCUGCAAGUAUUAUGACCAACAACAAGCAUGCCAUCAACAUAAAGCAACACAAUAAUAAAGUCACCACCAAAGAAUUUUUGCACAAAAACACAAUGGUCUGAAGAAGUCUUCUUGAAGCCCUACUGACUCAUAAAAAAAACAAACUUUCUAUACCAUUUUCACUGUAUUCCAAUGUUUUCUUCCCAAAUUAGAGAGAAAACGGCUAACAACAACAACAACGUAAGCAAUUUUCGCUCUUGUACAAAUCAUCGCAUAUAUCAAACUACCAAAAACUGAAGCAUAAGAAACUUUCUUCAGAUCUUCCUUCUCAUCAUAACUAGAAUGACACUGCUGCUUCGUGCUCAAUUUGAAGUGCAUAGCUAAAGGUACAUUGACAACCUUAGCUUUGUCGAUGUUGAAUCUGUGAAGUACUUUUUAAAUGUACUUCUCUUGUGAUAACCACAACUUCUUGUCCUCUCUGUCACAGACAAUCUGCAUACCAAGAAUCUGCCUUGCUGGUCCCAAGUCUUUCAUAGUAAAAGACUUACUCAACUCUUGCUUUAACUUCUGAAUCCUGCAAGUAUUAUGACCAACAACAAGCAUGCCAUCAACAUAAAGCAACACAAUAAUAAAGUCACCACCAAAGAAUUUUUGCACAAAAACACAAUGGUCUGAAGAAGUCUUCUUGAAGCCCUACUGACUCAUAAAAGAACCAAACUUUCUAUACCAUUUUCUAAGAGCUUGUUUCAAACCAUACAAGUUCUUCUUCAAUUUGAAAACAUAAUUCUUUUUACCCUUUACUUCAAAACCUUCUGGCUGCUCCAUAUAAUUUUUUUCAUUCAAGUCAUCAUGGAAAAAAGCAGUUUUAACAUCCAUUUGCUCAACCUCUAAAUCUAGACUUGCAGCCAAGCCUAGAUUCACACAAAUGGAUGACAUCUUCACAAUUAGAGAACAUCUCAUCAAAAUCAACUCCCAUUUUCUGGUUAAAUCCCUUCAGAACUAAUUUAGAUUUGUACCGUAGAAUUGGAAUACCUUCUUCAUGUUUACCUAGAAAAUCCACAUGUUUUUAAAGCCUUUCGAUAUUUAGGUAACAUAACCAAAUUGAAGGUGUGAUUAUCAUAUUAGGAUUUAAUUUCAUCUUCCAUUUCAUUAAACCACCUUUCGUUUUAUUCACUUUACAUGGCCUCAUCAAGACUCUUAUCUUUUCCCCCAUCAGUCAAUAGUACAUACUCAUUAGGAGAAUAACGAGAUGAAAAAAUUCUCUCUCUAGCAGGUCGUCUGAGAGAAAUCUCCGAAUCAUCAAUAAUUGGUUCUGGGUCACCAACAUCAUCUACCAAUGGAGAAUCAACAACAUCAUACUGGUAAUUUUGAACAUGAUCACCAUCUUCAUUAACAACUUGACUUUCAUCAUUAUGAAGAGUUUCUUCAGUGCAAUAGUCAAAGGAACUGGAUCAACAUCAAUUAGGCUCUUAGUGCUCUGAGAAUCAACUUUCUUGGCUUUGUCAAGAUCUUCAAUUGUUUGGUCUUCAAAGAACACAACAUCACGACUUCUAACAGUUUUUCUCAACUAGCCAAAUUCAUCUUGAUCAUAACAAAGGUACAUUGCCUAGUUUUGACAUACAACUUUGACAUCUCAUCCUUAGCAACAUGCACAAAGGUUUUACACCUAAAAACUUUAGGAUGAUCAUAAGAGACAUUCUUACCAGAUCAAACUUGUCAGGGACAUGACCAUUCAAAGCAAGAGUAAGAGAUAAAUUGAUAACAUAGGUAGAAAUAUUAAGUGCUUCCGUCCAAAAGGAAUCUGGUUGUUUAGCAUCUGAAAGCAUACAUUUAACCCUCUCAAAUAGAGUUUUGUUCAUCCUCUUUGCUAAACCAUUUAGCUAAGACAUAUUUGAAGGAUUUUUUUUAUGCCAACUACCCUGCUCACUGCAAUAUCUAUCAAAAGAAUCAAUAUACUCAUCAUCAUUAUCAAAACGGAUGUGUUUUAAUUUCCUUCCUGUUUGUCUCUCAACCAAGGCCUGAAAACUCUUAAACGCAUCAAGGACUUGACCCUUGAACUUCAAAGAGAAUACCUAGAGUUUGCAAGAAUGAUCAUCAAUAAAAGUCACAAAGUAAAGUGCACCACCAUGAUACUUUUCCUUAAAAGAACCACACAAAAUAAAAUUUACCAACUCCAGCAAAUCAAGCUUCCUUGAAGGCAUAUGACUCUGAAAAGAAACUCUUUUUUGUUUAUCGGCUAAGCAAUGAACACAUUUGUUCAACUUUUCUUGUUUCACUCCAGAAAGCAAAUUCUUCUUAGUCAAUUUUUUCAUUCCCUUCUUGCUCAUAUGACUCAGUCUUUUAUGCCAUGACUAUGAUGAAGUAUCAUUCUCCACCAAAUUUAUCAAGCCUAUAAAAAUGGAGCCCUAGAAUACGUACAAGUUAGACAACUUGUCACCACAAUCCAAAACCAUCGAAUCUCUAGUAAGCUUCCACUGGCCAGCACCAAGGGUAUAAACAUAACCCUCAUCAUCAAGGUAUCCCUCAGAAAUCAAAUUCAAGCGAACCUCUAGAGGAUGUUAUAAUAUUAUUGAAGACUAGUUUGGAUCUAUUGUUACUUUUCAAACAAACAGUCGCAAUGCCAAGAACUGCAACCUCAUGAUUAUUGUCCAUUUUCAGCAUGCCACAAUUACCUGGAGUAUAAGAAGAAAAUAAUUUCUUUUUUGGAGUGACAUGAGAAGUAGCACCAGACUCCACAAACCAGCUAAACUCAUCACGAACAAGAUUGACAAAAUUUUCAUCACAAAAAUAAGAAGAUCAUCAUUAGCAGCAACAACAACACAAUUUUCAUUAUCGCCUUCUUUCUUUUGUUCUCUCAUAUAUCACUUAUACCUAAAGCAAUAUUUUUUUAUAUGCCCAUUCUUGUGGCAAUAGUCACAUGUAACAUUCUUAUAUUUAGACUUUGACUUACCUCUACUUUUAUAUCUGCAUUCUAACCUCUGAACUUGCUUCUCCCCUGUCUUCAGUAACCAAAACAUCGAAGUGUGAAGUAGAAGAAGAUAAGCCUUGAGGUCUUCUUCUCUUCUCUUCAUUCAAGACAUCAUUCUUAGCAUAUUCUAUAGUUACAACACCACUAGGAGCAUAAUUAGUCAAAGAAAUUCAAAGAGUUUUCCAAGAGUCUGGCAAAGUGUUAAGAAGUAAAAGUCCAUGUAUCUCUUCAUCGAACUUUUCAUUCAUUUCGGACAACUAGUCAAGAACACCUUGAAAAUUAUUAAUAUGAUCAGAAAUAUGAGUGUCCUCUUUAUACUUGAUGUUCAUUAAUUGUUUAAAUAGAAAUAACUUAUUGUUGUCAGUCUUUGAAGCAUAGAGUGUCUCAAGCUUGUCCCAAAAUCUUCUAGCAUGUGUCUUAUUCACAAUGUGAUUUCUAACAUUAUCUUCAACCCAUUGUCUGAUAUAGCCACAAACAUGUAAGUGCUCAAAUUCUUAUUCCUGAUCCAUCAUGGAUUGAGGCUUAUUAGAAACAAACACAGGUAAAUGCAUCUUUUUUUAAAAUAGAAGAUCUUUCAUCUUGCCUUUUCAAGUAUGAUAGUUACUACCAUUCAAACAAACCAUCUUGCUCAUAUUUUUCUCCACCGUUCAAAUCGAUAAUCAACAAUAACCUUAUGCUAUGAUAACACUUUGUUGGAAAAGGAAAUGCACUAACAAAGAAUGCCCGAUAAUAUAGCAACAGAAAAAUACCCAAGUCUAAACUUUUCCUUUAAGUUUGAAUCAAGUGAAGACAAACUAGAUCAAGCAGUACGAAGAAUUGACAUCAAGUAUAUCAACCAAACAACAACAACAACAACAACAAGAUAAGAAUAAACAAACACACAAGACACAAAAAUUUACAUGGAAAACCCUUCAAUGCGAAGAAUAAAAACCACAUGACCAAAAGCUCCACUAUAAUAACCAAGAGUUACAAUAUUUUUCUCCAAAUAUAGCCACAAAAUAAGUGUCCAACAAUGAGUAUCAACGAAACAAGAUUGCACCAAAACUAGAGAAUUAAAGGAGAGAAUUCACCAAAAAAUGAGCUACUAUUCAUAACAAAAAAUCCAAAUCUAAAGACAACCAGAUCCGAUCUCCACCGUUGAAAUGCAAGAACCAUAUGUUGAAAACUCCCAGUUUAAAUUUGAGCACGAUCCAAUGGUUAACGAAGCAAUAAACUGUGUUUAAACUAGACAACUUGAGCAGAAAAUUUCUUGAAACAAAAACGAGAUUUUUCUCUCGUUCUUUCAAUCUCUAAAUGCCUCUCUUUCUAUUUCUCUCUCUUGUGUGCCUGAAAAUAAGACCUAAAUAAGCCGUAUAUAUGCCACAUAAUAUUGACAUUUAUUUAUUCACAUAGGAAGGAAAAAAUCCUACACCCACUAUUUUAACUCAAACUCAAUAUUUAUUUUAAAUUUUAAUCAACAUCUAUAAAUUUUCAAUUUCAAAUGAUCAUAUCAAUUAACUUAAAGAAUGUUAUUUUCUCUCGUUCAUAACUUCAUAUUGAAUUGUGCUUUUAAUUUAGGCAAACCCCUUUUAAAAUCUACUAUUUUCUAAAAAUUAAAAGUGUAUCUUGGUUUAAAUAUAAAAAAAUCACUUAUCUAAAUAAGGAUAAUAAAAAAGAAAUAAUUAAUUCCUUUUUAGUUAUGUGAAACACUAUUUAUUUUGAACUAAAAUAGAAAAAUAAAAUUAUCAUUUAAUUAGACUAGGAGGGAGUAAAAUAAACAUCAAAUCUUGUAUUAGGCACACAUUAUUUAUACGCUUCCUUGGAGUAGCAUCCAUCCUCCUACUUUUUUAUUUUUGACUUUUCCAUAAAAAUACCUUUAUUCCAAUCUUAUAUAUCUAUAUAUACCAAAACCCCUCAUUGACUAAUUAGACUUUCCUAUUUCAAGAAAGAAUGAAUUUUGAGGAUUCAUAUCACAUUAGAUUUAAUCUCGAUCAAAUAGUUGAAAUUCAUUUCAAGAAAUAAUUGAUAUUUGAGGAUUCACACCACGUUAGAUUUAAUCUCAAAAGUUGAUCAAAUUUAUUCUCCAGACUCUAUUUCGACUUGCCUUGUACACACGUGAGACAUAUGAACCUUGGGCUCUGAUAUCAUUUGUCACGAUAAAAAAUGCACGUGAUGACACUCAUUUUAUCCCACCGAGACAAGUCAGCCUAACACCCAAAACUACAAUACAAAAUGUAGAAAGUAAGCUAUCAAUAACAUAAGUGUGAAAAAUUUAGAUAAAAUACAUAACUACCACCAAAAUCUGGUUGUCACGUGUAUAAGCCACUAAUGUAUAAAAGCACUUGAAUAGAACGAAGCAUAAAAUAAGGAAUAAGAGGACCCACCGGGAUGACAAGCAACUACCUCGCAACGUGUCCUCAAAAGCCUUAGAAGAAAUGUCACACAAGUCUAGGUCCGAAUCUACACAAGUGUAGAAGCAAUGAGUGAGUACCAAUCAACACGGAACUCAACAAGCAAUCCAAUAACACAAGGUAAAACUAGCCUAGAUUACAAAUACUCAUUUCAUCCCAACCGAACCUCCUCAACUAAAACCUGCACAGAAAUCAGUUCAGCCUAACAAUUUACAAUAUACAACUCACACGGCUCAACAAUCACAAUUCAACAUUAACAGUUCAACAAUCACUAGUAUCACAUUAAUCAAUCACAAGUAUCAAGUUGGAAUUUAUGGGGAAUACCCAUAGUCCAUGCACUCGCUGACAAUGACCUUGGCAUAAUAGAACCCACACGGCAAUGACCUCGACAUCAAUAACAUUCUUCAAAAAUGACCUCGACAUCAAUAACACUCACCGGAAAUGACCUCGGCCUAAUAACCUCGCAUCUCAUCAUAAUGCCCAGAAUCAAUGUGAAUGAGCAUACUCACACAAUAUUGAAGAGAUGAUAAACUCAAGCAAUUCAAGUUCACAAUAAUAUUAUCAAAGCAUUUCAUCAAUCAUGAGUUCAAUGUUCACACCAAGACAAUUCAUAAUACACAAUACAUCAUUAACAACACAUUACCUUUUUCAUUAAACUGCAUUUAUAUCGAUAAAGCUAAUCAAAUGAGUAAAUUAACCCAUCACCUCACUUCCAUUGCUUCCCAACACACACAAUGAAGGAAAAUACAAGUUUCUACAAGUUUUAACAAUGUUUAGAGGUCUUGUCUUAAUCAAUCAAAAGUCACUCUAGGACUUGAGCUUUUCCCCUCCGAAUAAUAUCUAAAGCAACACAAUCUAAUCAAAUAAGUAAUCACAAUGAGAUUUUGAAACUAAUAACACACAUAUCAAGCACUUUAAAAAAUGGGUCAAUUCGACUCAAAAAAUAAAUUCCAAAAAUUAGGUUUGAAAUUGAAAAUCAUUACUUAAAUACGUUACCCAAAACAUUUGAAACUCAUUGGUGAAAGCCAUUUUGAAAAUAAAGGUGUAUUCAACUCAAAAUCACCAAUUUACUUCAACACCCAGUUAGUCUUGAAAACCUUUUCAUUUUGCCAAUCAAAAAUCUCUAUUUUUUUUAAUGUUAAAACUACAAAUGAUAAUGGAGAAUUGAAGACUUAGGGUUACAAACACUUACCCAAAAAAUUUAGUACGAUAAGUCUCCUCAAAAUCACCUUCAACUGUUCUUCAAAAUUCAAAAUGGAGAAAUCCCAAAAAAACAAACUAAAAGGCUCCCAUGUCUCGCUUUUGCAAACCCAGGGUCACUUACACAAUCAUCGCAAUCCUAGUUCAAAAAAUCGAACUCUGAAAAGUUGGCUAGUAAUCACUUUCGCGAGCCGGCCUUCACUAAAGCGAAGGUCGCGAAAGCGACAACCACUCGCAAACGCGAAGGUCUAGGGGAACCGACCCCUUGCGAAUGUGACUAGUAUAUCACGGAAGCAAUGUUUGCGAAAGCGAACAACCUCUCGUUAACGUGAGGCACACAUGGUAAUAGAAAAUUCAUCCAACUUUCAAAAUUCCUAAAUGAUCCUCAGAAUUCGUUCGGAACCCAUAUACACAAAUUAAAUAUGUAACUCGACGAUACUCAACGUUUCAAAUAUAAUGGAACUAUUGAAAUACGAAUCUGAGAUCUCCUAGACCCGAAUCUCGUGUAAAUCACAAGAAACUAACACAACACCUAAAACUGACAAACUAGCUCGGGACCUCUUAAAAUUCAACCAAGAUCUCUGCCUAAGCCUAAAAUCAUCUCCCGAAUUCAAUGGAAUUGUUGGAAAUUCGAUCCGGGCAUCCAAACUCCAAAUGUUAACAAAGUCAACCUAAAGGCUAAAUUCUCACCAAUUUUCAAGUUAGGACCUCAAAUCCAGGAAAAGACUCUGAAUGUAACACUCCGGAAACUAGUAGGCUAAACUAGAGCUUAACAUGUGGGUUAAAGUCGUAAAUGUAACUCCCCGUACUUAAAAAUAAUGGGUUUCAUGUUAGGAUGUCAAGGUACGACCCCCAAGAACCAACUAUGGGUCCUUGAGGAAGACCCUAGAAAAGUUGCAUGUAUAGUGACCCACGAAGGGGACCUACACCACGUAGGUCAACCCACACCCAUGGGUGAGAGGGCCGUAGGUCAGGCCCUAAAAAUCAAGUCCCACAACCCAACCCACGCUUCACCAGCACGGGCCGUAGGUCCAACCACGGUCCGUCAGUGGUAGGUCUUGGAUGGUCACCUGGAAGCUGAUUUGGAGGGUUAAGUUAGAGGGCACUUUGGGGUUUUCCAGGUUUAAUUAAUACUAAGUGAGGUUGUUUUAGCCUAUUUUAGAACACCUAUAUAAGGAUUUAAGCUCACAAAAUUUACUCAUCUUCCUCAUUAUUCCAAAAUCCCAAAUAAAAACCAACUUUUCCCCAAAUAUUCUCUCUCUAGAACUUCAAAGAAAACGAAGAAGGAAGUUGGAGCUAGGGUUCAAUGAGCAAGGUUUUCUUCUCAAAUUCAUUGGAUUUCAUUGCUAAGGUAUGGUAGUUCUUCAUACAUGGAUAUAAUUCAUCCAUGGAGCCCCUUCAAAACCUCAAUUUCAAAGAUGGAAAUUCCCCAAAAGUUAGGGUUUUACUCCAAGUCAUGGGUUCCUUUAAAAAAUGAUUCUAGUGAUUUAAUUACUUAUACUAUGAUUGAAUUUAUGAUCUUUUAUGGUUUUUAUGUUGAAAUCCCCAAGAAUCCAUGAAAUCCCCCAUAUUACUCAAUUAUGAUCUUGUGAUGUAGGUUUGUUGAUGAAAGAAGAGUAUUAUGAGAUUUUACAUGUAGUGAUUUGAUUACUUGAAUUAUGAUUAUAUCCAUGUCUAAAGUAGUGAAUUCUAGAUGUGUUGAUUGAAUAUGAUCAUUGAUCCUUGAAGGGUAAAGUAUGAGAAUUAUGCAUGAUUAUGAGAUUUAUGUAUAUGCUUUAAGAACACUUUGAGAGUAAAGUGAUUAUGAUUAUGAUCUAGUUGUUGUGUUGUUGAAAGGUUAUCCUCAUAUACACACUUACGUAUGAAUAUGAUAUGAUGUGAGGGGUUUUCUCAUAAUAUGAUGAUUCUAAGGUUGAAAGACUAUUCUCACCUAUUGAAUCUAGGAGCUAUCUUAUGAGUUAUGUUGGAUUGAGUGUCAAGACAUUCUUCCAUGAAUAUGAAUUUAAGUCAAGACUUAACAUGAACUCCGUGGGAAUUAAUGCUCAGCACCGAGUGGAUAUUGAUAUGAGAUGGGAACCCUCACAAUAGUAGAGACCGAGUUUCUAGGAACAAUCUCUUGGGAUGGAAGCCCUCACGAUAGUAGAGGUCGGGUUUCUAGUAGCAAUCCCCUUGUCCCAUAAACUAUGUGCCUUCAUAGGUCUUUAGAUAGUGGAUCCACCUAAGCUAAGAGUAUGGUUCUACCUUAGGAAAGUAGGACAACCCCUUUUCGGUGUGGGGUAGACACCGGAUUCCAUGUUAAGCUCACAUGGUCUAUGUCGGUUAAGGCUUAUACCACUAUGAUAGUAUAAACAAUAAUAUGAAUUAUGAACUAUAGCUACUCAAGAAGCUUUACUUAGUAUGUGUGAGAUUAUGGGAUCUUAUUCAUGCAUUACACAAGUAUGCUUUGAGGGUAUUUAUGAUAUGUUCAUCUUACGAUAUGAUGAUCUAUGAGUUGAUUAUGCUUAUGACUUAUGCUUUUUCCACUAUCUUCAAAAUGAUGUUUUAACAUAGUAAAUUGCAUGCAUUCAACUAAAUGUCCUUUUAGCAUUAUUUCAAUGUUUUUAUGCAUGGCUAUCAUACUUAGUGCAUUUUUGUACUAACACAUGCUUUUUCUACAUUUUCCGCAAUUGUAGGGUCCGGUUCUCAAGGUGGUCAUCAUUGUGGCUAAAGAUUGGAUUUGCUUAUUCUCCUAGCUUGUUGGUGAUUCCUCAUGAUUUAAGGACUGAUGUUAUCUUUGUAGUUCUUUUCUUGUAUUUCCUUUACGGACUAUGUUGUAUGGGCUGUGACCCUAUUUCUUUCAAGUAUUGUAAUAGAUGGCUAUAUUGAGACAAGUCUAGACUUUCGCUUUCCUUUAUGAAAAAUUUUGGACUUGAAAUGCGAUUUUACUCUUUAUUGUUCUAUUCUUAUGUUAUGAUACGUUAAGAGGCUUGUAUAAGGCUUCUCGGAGUCUUGCACACCGUGUUACAUCUAGGGGGUACUUUUGGGUCGUGACAAACUUGGUAUCAGAGCACAGGGUUUAGAUUGAUUCUAGGAUGAUGUAUCAUAAGCAACGUCUAGUAGAGUCUUGCUCAUGAGUGUGAAGCGCGCCACAUUUAUGAAUGUGAGGCUACUAGUUGAUUAGGAAACUACAUUUCUUUCAUUACUCUUAAGUCGUGCAAUAGAGUUUAACUCUAUAAAGUCCCUCUCUUAAUCCUUCUCUUAAAAUGAAUACACGAAGGGCUAAUGCUAGAAGAAUAGAGGGUGACAAUGUGAAUGAAGAAGCUCUUCAAGCUAAUCAAGCUCCGAUUGAUCCUUUAGUUAUGUCGAAUGUGGAGGUUAGGUCGGCUUUUCAAAUGUUGGCCCAAGCUUUGACUACUCAAGCUCAAGUUGUGACGGCUCAAGCCAACAGAGAGGUUGUAGCUAUGGUGAAUCCUAAUGUGAGUUCAGAGGCUUCAAGAGUGAGGGAUUUUUCAAGAAUGAACCCCCCGAAUUGCAUGACUCCAAAGUGGAGGAGGAUCCUCAAGAAUUUGUAGAAGAGGUUUAUAAAGUACUUGCUAUUAUGGGGUGACUUCGGUAGAGAAAGCAGAGUUGGUUGCUUACCAAUUGAAAAGUGUUGCUCAAGUGUGGUAUAAUCAAAGGAGGAGAAAUAGGCCGGUAGGAGCAAGUCGCAUAAAGUGGGAGGUGUUCAAAUUGGCGUUUCUUGAUAGGUUCUUUCCCCGAGAGUUGAGGGAAGCUAAGGUGGAAGAGUUCAUUAACCUUCAUCAAGGAAGCAUGAGUGUGAAAGAGUAUGCACUAAAGUUCACUCAAUUGUCCAAGUAUUCUCCAACUAUGGUGGCGGAUUCGAGGGAUGAGAUGAGUAGGUUUUUGACGGAUGUGUCUGGCUUGGUAGUAAAAGAAUGUCGUUCAGUAAUGCUCCAUCAUGAAAUGGAUAUCUCACGUCUUAUGGUGCAUUCCCAAUAAAUAGAGGAAGAGAAACUCAAGAAAAAGAAUAGAGAGGUGAAAAGAACUACGACCGGUGAUGGGAAAUUCUCCAAUGCUAAGUCUGAUGUACAAGGUCGACCAAGGUUUUCCAACCAAGGCUCCUCUAGUUCUCCAAGGGUCAACAAGGAUAGGGUUUCCAACCCUAAACCUCAAGGAGGUAAUAGUGGUGGUUCUUAUGUGGCUAGGCCUAAUUGUGCGAAAUGUGGAAGAAAACAUGAUGGUAAGUGCCUAGUUGGCUCGGACAGUUUCUAUGGUUGUCGAAAGAGUGUCCACAAGAUGAGAGAUUUCCCGAUGCUCAUGGCCAAGGGAAGAGAAGGCAAUUAAACUCCUCCAAGCGGUUCAAACUCCAAUGCCCCAAAGCAAAACCGUUUUUAUGCUCUUCAAUCCCGAGACCAAGAGAGCUCACGGAUGUUGUGACCGGUAUGUUAAAAUUCUUUCUUAUUGAUGUGUAUGCCUUGUUAGAUCUCGGUGCUACUUUGUCCUUUGUGACACCUUAUGUCGCCAUGAAGUUUGAUAUACUUCCCGAAGCGUUAGUGGAACCUUUUUUGGUUUCUACCCCGGUUGGUGACUCAGUGGUGGCUAAGAGGGUGUAUAGAAGGUGUCUCAUUUGCUUGUCCCAUAGAGUUACUUUGGUGUAUUUCGUAGAGUUAGACAUGUUAGAAUUUGAUGUGAUUUUGGGUAUGGAUUGGUUGUAUGCAUGUUAUGCCUCUAUCGAUUGUAGGACUCGGGUGGUUAGAUUCCAAUUUCCAAAUGAGCCUGUCUAAGAGUGAAAGGGAGGAAAUUCUAUGCCUAGAGGUCAAUUUAUCUCUGGUCUUAAAUCUAGGAAGAUGAUCUCCAAAGGGUGUAUUUACCAUAUUGUUAGGGUGAGGGAUGUUGAAUCUGAAACCCCUUCUCUAGAGUCGGUUUCGGUAGUGAAUGAGUUAUCGAAAGUUUUUCCUGAUGAUUUACCCGGUAUUCCUCCCGAUCGGGAAAUAAAUUUUGGUAUUGACCUUUUACCGGAUACAAAGCCUAUCUCUAUUCCUUCUUAUAGAAUGGCUCCGGCUGAGUUGAAAGAGCAACUAAAAGAUUUAUUUAAUAAGGGCUUCAUCCGAUCGAGUAUCUCUCCAUGGGGUGCUCCGAUGUUGUUUGUUAGAAAGAAGGAUGUGUCUCUUAGAAUGUUCAUCGAUUAUCGUCAAUUGAAUAAAGUUACCAUUAAGAACAAGUAUCAUCUUCUGAGAAUUGAUGACUUGUUUGAUCAAUUUCAAGGGGCUAGUUAUUUCUCAAAAAUUGACCUUCGUUCGGGUAUCACCAGUUAAGGGUGAGAGGGGUUGAUAUUCCCAAGAUGGCUUUCAGAACUCGAUAUGGACAUUCUGAAUUCCUUGUGAUUUCAUUUGGCUAAACUAAUGCUCCUGCGGCAUUUAUGGACCUAAUGAAUAAAGUAUUUAGGUAAUACCUAGACAUGUUUGUAAUUGUGUUUAUCGAUGAUAUUUUGAUCUAUUCAAGGAGUGAGAAUGAUCAUGAGGACCAUUUGAGAAUUGUGUUGCAAGUUCUUAAGGACCACCAACUUUUUGCAAAGUUUAGCAAGUGUGAAUUUUGGUUGAGAUCCGUAGCUUUCCUUGGUCAUAUUUGUCAAGCAAGGGUAUUGAGGUAGAUUCUAAGAAGACGGAUGAGGUCAAGAGUUGGCCUAGAGCUCUAACUCCUUUCUAUAUUAGAAGCUUUUUGGGUUUUGCCGGUUGCUAUAGAAGGUUUGUUGAGGAAUUUUCUUCCAUUGCUUCUCUUUUGAUUGCUUUGACUCAAAAGAAAGCUAAGUUUGUGUGGUCGGAAUCUUGUGAGAAAACUUUCCAAGAGUUGAAAGAUAGACUUAUUUCUGCUCCGGUGUUAACCUUACUAGAAGGUACAAAUGGUUUCGUGGUAUAUUGUGAUGCCUUUAGAGUGGGGUUGAGAUGUGUGCUCAUGCAAAGCGGUAAAGUGAUUGCAUAUGCUUCAAGGCAACUUAAAGUCCAUGAAAAGAAUUAUCCGACCCAUGAUCUUGAAUUAGCGGCGGUUGUGUUUGCCUUAAAAAUAUGGAGGCAUUAUUUGUAUGGGGUCCAUGUGGAUGUUUUCACCGAUCACAAGAGUUUUCAAUAUGUAUUUAGUCAAAAGGACUUGAAUCUUCGACAAAGAAAGUGGCUAGAACUCUUGAAGGAUUAUGAUAUGAGUGUCCUUUAUCACCUCGGCAAAGCCAAUGUGGUAGCAGAUGGACUUAGUAGAUUGUCCACGGGUAGUGUGGCUCAUGUAGAGGAUGAAAAGAAAGAAUUGGUUCGUGAUGUGCAUAGGUUGGCUCGACUAGGUGUUCAACUAGUGGAUUCCACCAUGGGUGGUGUCAUGGUCCAUAAUGGUUCCAAAUCAUCCUUUGUAAUAGAUGUGAACCCUAAGAAAGACCUUAAUCCUAUAUUAGUUGAGUUGAAAGAGUCGGUACUCAAGAAGUCCGUUGAGUUUUUCUUCCAAGGGGAAGAUGGGGUGCUUAGGUACCAAGGUCGGUUAUGUGUUCCAAAUUUUGAUGGUUUGAGGGAACAAAUUUUACAAGAAGCUCAUAGUUCUCGGUAUUUUAUUCAUCCGGGAGCCACCAAGAUGUAUUGUGAUCUACGGAAAGUCUAUUGGUGGAAUGGGAUGAAGAAAGAUAUUGCGGGAUUUGUAGCCAAAUGUCCUAAUUGUCAACAAGUUAAGGUUGAGCAUCAAAGGCCGGGAGGCUUGUCCCAAGAUAUAAGUAUUCCCACUUGGAAGUGGGAAGAUGUAAAUAUGGACUUUAUUGUGGGUUUGUCUUGUACCCGAAGGAAACAUGAUUCUAUUUGGGUCAUUAUAGAUCGGAUGACAAAAUCAGCCCACUUCAUUCCCGUCACGGUUUCCUUUUCGGUGGAAUACUAUGCCAAGGUGUAUAUAAGGAAGAUAGUGAAGUUGCAUAGAGUUUCUCUAUCUAUUAUUUCCCAUUGGGAUACUCAAUUUACUUCCCACUUUUAGAAGUCAUUCCAAAAAGGUCUUGGCGCGAAGGUGAAGCUUAGUACAACUUUUCACCCCCAAACGCAUGGACAAGCGAAAAACACCAUUCAUGUAACACUUCGUAUCCAAAAAUAGACCAACCAACAGAUUUCCAGAAGUUUCAGGUGCAACCCACGGACCGUAGGGUGACCUACGUUCCGUCUUGAUGGUCCGUGGUUCACCACCUGCAGCCCCUCCCAGAAAAGGCCCAUAAAAUUAUUCUAAGUCCAGACCUACGUAAGGACCUACAGACCGAAGGCCAGACUAGGGUCUGUGUUCCAGGGCCGUAGGUCAGACCCUCAGACAAAUGUUUAUAUGACAUGACCUACAGACGAACCCACGGACCAUAGGUUAGGCCACAAAUCGUGGUCCUAGUCCGUGGAAUGAGGCCCCAGAAUCUAGUCCCAGAACCCCGUUGAUGGUUGACCAGCAUGACCGUUGGUCCAUCCAUGGUCCGUUGGUGGCCUCGAUAACUUUUAAGUCAGGGGUCGUUUGGUCUUUUCCCUAUGUGUUGGACCCCUAAACUACAUAGUUUUUGUCAGUUUUAGCCUAGUAAACUAAUUAGAACCUAACCUAAUCAAUCAUUCAUCUAAAAUUCAUCAAACUUAGAGCAAAAUAGAGGAGAAAGUUGAGCAGCCCUAGUUCAAGAGCGCAAGGAGCGUUCAUUAGUUCCAACCUCGAAAUCAAAAGAUUUCUCGGUGAAUUUUAUCACCAGGUAUGUGGGAUUUCACUAGUGGUUUCCUUUCACCCAUUAGGUCCCUAGAAUUCAGUCAGAUUCUUGAUUCCUUUCAUAUUAUCUAGACCUAGGGUUUUUAGAAUUUCAGAAGAUUAUUAUGAAUUACUGUAAUGUUCCUAAUUAGAUUAUCAUGAUAUUAGUAUUAUUUUGCGUAGAUUUUUUCAUAAGUUCAGAACCCUAGCUAUGUAGUUCUUUUAGUUCAUGAAUUACACAUGCUAGGUUAGUUAUCUCAGUUAUACAUGCCUCAGAUUUGAAUGUUUCAUUAUUAGUACAUUAAUGUUGCUUUUUUAGUUAGCAUGUCAGUAUUUUGAGCUAUCCAGUAUUACAUAAAUUCACUCAUAAACUGUUAAUUACAUAAUCAAUUGGGAGUAGCUUAAUACCGAGUGGACUAGGGUCAGUCACCCUCAACUCCCAGAACUUCGUGCCCCCGUAGGUUAUAAGUCCUCUCUGUGGGCAUCAAUUUAGUGAUCACGCUAGUUAUGCCUCUAUACCUCCGACAGGGUAUAUUUGGUCCUCUCGAUGAGGCGUAUACAUCGGACUCCAUAUUUAGCUCAUGUGGUUUUAUGUCGGUUAUUAGUAGCUCCCUUAUAGUUAGACUCUAUUGCAUUGACCAUGUUAUCAGUUACAGUCAGAUUUUAGUCUCAAUUUGUUAUAAACUUGGUCAUUGCAUUCAGUUAGUUCAUGUUUAGUAUUUUCAGUAUAGAAUCAUGCUUAUCUUAUCUCAUUGCUCAAUUAUAUGCUUUGUUCAGUUAUGUUUAUUGUUCAGCUUUACUCUAUCUUACAUUCUCAAUACCUUUCAAGUACUGACGCAUACGAUGCGCUACAUCUUUUUAUGAUGCAGGUUCAGGUCCUCAACUUUCAGAUCACGCAUAGGUCGAUUCCCGAUCUUCAGCUCAGCAGUAUCAGUGGUGAGUCCUCAUUCUCUGAGGACGACAUACAUAUUUCUUUUUAUUUUUAGUCUUUAGUUUCAGUUUUGUUAGAUUUAGCUAGGGCAUGUCCCAGCAUUUCUAGUCAGUUAAAGGCUUAUUUUCAGACAUAGUUAGAUUCAGCUUUAGCAUUUGAGUUUGACCUUUUAGUUGUUGUUUAACUCUCAGUUUUUUAUAUAUUCAGAUAGUUUAUGGGUUUUCCCCAUCAUUUUAGUUUUAUGAUGAUUUAAGCUUCCGCACCGUACUUUCUUAAUUCAGUUAUCUUUAAGUAUGCUUAUGAUAUGCCAGUAGGGUUAGCUUGGGGUCACUCGCGAUCCUAGGUCCCGUGUCCGCGUCUUGGGGGUAGCUUCGGGGCGUGACAAACUUGGUAUCAAAGCACUAGGUUUAAGUGUCCUAGGAUGUCUGAAAAGCCGCACUAAGUAGAGUCCUUUUCAUGGGUGUGAAGUGCACCACAUCUAAUGAGUGGGAGGCUACGAUGUGUUCUAGGAAAACUUCACUUUUUUUAUAUUCUUAUCGUGCGUGGGUAUGAUCUACCUUCUAAUCCAUCAUUAUGCAUUUCAGAUCAUGCCUCCUCGUAGAGAUUACAGAAGGAAUGCUAAUGCACGCAAUGCUAAUGCAACUCUUCCAGUCCCAGAUCAGGAAGUUUCGAAUGCAGAGUUCCAAAACGCCAUUUAGUUUUUAGCUUAGAGUGUGACCAACCAGAACAACCAAUAUGUUCAGGUUCCUACAAAUACUAGUGGUGGAUCAGCGGCAACUAGGGUUUAUGACUUUGUUAGGAUGAAUCCGCCAAAAUUUCUAGGAUCGCAAGUUGAUGAGGAUCCCCAAAACUUCAUAAAUGAGGUCAAGAAGAUCUUUGGAUUAAUGCAAGUGAUUAGAAAUGAUAGGGUGGAGUUGGCAUCCUACUAACUUAAGGAUGUAGCUCACAUAAGGUUCACGUAGUGGAAAGAAAACAAAGAUACGGAUGCAGUUCCUAUCACUUGGGAGUAUUUUAGUGAGACCUUUCUAGAAAAGUUUUUCCCAAGAGAGUUGAGGGAGGCAAGAGCUCACGAGUUCAUGAAUUUGAGGCAAGGUAACAUGAUAGUCGAAGAGUACGUGCUCAAGUUCACCCAACUCUCCAGGUAUGAUCCUCACAUGGUUGCCGAUUCCAGGGCUCAAAUGAAUAAGUUUCUGUAUGGAGUAUCCGACUUGGCGAAAACUAAGUGUCGCAAUGCUAUGUUACUGGAGAAUGUGAAUAUCUAUAGGCUCAUGACUCAUGCUCAGCAGGUUAAGGGAGAUAAGCUUAGGGAACAUGCUAAGGAUAAUAAGAAGGCUAGGACAGGCAACUAUGAGUAUUCUCAAUAGAAAUCAGGUGGUGGAAAUCGCUCGCAGUUUCAGCAAAAGUCUUCAGCUCCAGCACAUUCAUGAGAUAGUGUUCCAUCUUCCAGGUUUCGACAGAAUCAGAAAGGUAGGGCAAUAGGCUCUAAGUCUCAUGGGAGUAUUUUAGGCAUCAAAACCUACCCAACUUGUCCAAAGUGUGGUAAGAACCAUCUGGGCAAGUGUCUUACAGGAAAUGAAUGAUGCUUUGGGUGUGGUCAGUCUAGUCACAGGUUGAGAGACUGUCAUUCUUCUAAAUAGGGUCAAGUAGGAAACAAUGGUAGGGCUCAGUCUACAUCUUCAGCAGUACCAGCAGGUCACCCGACUCAGCAAGGUAACUCAUCUGGUAUAGGUGGCGGACAACACCAAAACAGGUUGUAUGCUCUUCAGGCUCACCAAGAUUAGGAAGAUUCUCCUGAUGUAGUCACUGGUACGCUACGAGUCUUUAACUUAGAUGUUUAUGCUUUGUUAGAUCCAUAGCCUACUCUCUCUUCUGUAACUAAUAACUAUCGAUUUUAGUGUCAGUCCCGAAAUUCUCUCAGAACCCUUCUCAGUCUCUACUCCAGUCAGUGACCCAAUUAUAGCUAGAUGGGUAUAUAGAAAUUUCCCUGGCACAGUCUCUCAUAAAGUCACCUCAGCGGAUCUUGUAGAGUUAGAAAUGGUAGACUUUGAUGUCAUUCUUGGCAUGGAUUAGUUACAUUCCUGUUAUGCCUCAGUCGAUUGUAAAACUAGGAUCGUUCAUUUUCAGUUUCCAGACAAACUAGUAGCUCAGUGCCUAUGGGUCGAUUCAUUUCUUACCUUAAGGCCAGAAAUAUGAUCUCUAAAAGUUAUCUCUAUCAUCUAUUUCGGGUUAAGGAUUCAAGCUCUGAAACCUCAACUCUUGAGUCAGUUCCUGUAGUUAAUGAGUUUGAAUGGAAGGGUAGUAGGUUGGUGCAUAUGGGUCGAUUCAUUUCUUACCUUAAGGCCAGAAAUAUGAUCUCUAAAAGUUAUCUCUAUCAUCUAUUUCGGGUUAAGGAUUCAAGCUCUGAAACCUCAACUCUUGAGUCAGUUCCUGUAGUUAAUGAGUUUCCUGAAGUGUUUCCAGAAGAUCUUCCCGGAGUUCCUCCCAAAAGGGAAAUCGACUUUGGANNNNNNNNNNNNNNNNNNNNNNNNNNNNNNNNNNNNNNNNUCCAGAUACCCAGCCUAUUUCUAUUCCUCCUUACAAAGUGGCUUUAGUUGAGCUUAAGGAAUUGAAGGAGCAGUUGAAUGACCUUUUAGAUAAGGGCUUCAUCAGACCUAGUAUUUCCUUGUGGCACCAGUAUUUUUUGUGAAAAAGAAAAAUAGUUCUCUCAAAAUGUGCAUUGACUAUCGGCAGUUGAACAAGGUCACGAUAAAAAAUAAGUAUCUUAUCCCCUAAAUUGAUGACUUAUUUGACCAACUUCAAGGUGCUAGUCAUUUCUCAAAGAUAGACCUCAGAUCCGAUUAUCAUCAGCUCAGAGUCAGAGAUAGUGACAUUUCGAAAAUAGCCUUCAGAACUCGGUAUGGUCAUUAUGAAUUUGUAGUUAUGUCAUUUGGACUAGCCAGUGCUCCUUCAACUUUCAUGGAUUUGAUUAACAGAGUGUUCAAGCAGUAUUUGGACUUGUUUGUUAUCGUCUUUAUUGAUGACAUCCUCAUUUACUCUAGGAAUGAGGAAGAAGAUACGACUCAUUUGAGGGUUGUCCUGCAAACUCUCAAAGAUCGUCAGUUAUUCGCUAAGUUUAGCAAAUGUGAGUGUUGGUUGUAAUCUGUUGCUUUCCUUGGGCAUAUUGUGUCUAGCGAAGGGAUCUGAGUGGAUUCUCAGAAAAUAAAAGCAGUGAAACAAUGGCCCAGACCUACCUCUCCUAUAGAUAUAAGAAGUUUCUUGGGUUUGGAUGGUUAUUACAAAAGGUUUGUAGAAGGAUUUUCAUCCAUAGCUUCUCCAUUAACUAAGUUAACUCAGAAAAAGGUUAAGUUCCAAUGGUCAAAUAAUUGUGAGAAUAGCUUUUCAGAACUGAAAACUAGCUUGACUACAGCUCCUGUUUUGACUCUACCAGAGGGUUUAGACGGUUAUCUGAUCUAUUGCGAUGCAUCUAGAGUCGGCCUAGGUUGCGUGUUGAUGCAACGAGGUAAGUUUAUAGCUUAUGCUUCUAGACAACUCAAGGUGCAUGGGAAGAACUAUCCAACUCAUGACCUCGAGCUUGCAGCAGUGGUGUUUGCACUUAAGAUUUGGAGACAUCACUUGUAUGGUGUUCACGUAGAUGUGUUCACAGACCAUAAGAGCCUUCAGUAUGUGUUCACCCAGAAAAAGUUGAAUCUUCGCCAGAGGAGAUGGCUUGAGUUCCACAAAGAUUAUGAUAUGAAUGUGCUUUAUCAUCCUAGUAAGGCCAAUGUAGUAGCAGAUGCUCUUAGUAGACUAUUUAUGGGUAGUGUAGCACAUAUUGAGGAAGAAAGGAAAAAACUAGCAAAAGAUGUUCACAGGCUUGCUCGCUUAGGAGUUUGUCUUAUGAGCAUAUCAGAUGGUGGUGUAAUAGUACAGAAUGGGUCAGAAUCUUCAUUGGUAGCGGAUGUUAAGGAAAAGAAAAAUAAUGAACCUAUAUUGCUUCAACUAAAGUGUCAUGCCCCAAACUCGAGGGGCGCAACUAGCUCCUAAUGCCAAAACUCAGGCCUGAGUUGACCCUGCUGAACCAUUUGCUACUAGCGCAUGGCAGCCACACGCAAUCAAGAAAACAAACAAGUAUAUCUCGGCUUAAAACUAAGCCCUCGACUGGUAAGGCCCCUGUCAACUGAUCUAUAAAGGAAACAACUACUCCCAGGAGAGCAUAUUAAAUAAAUAGCCAACUAGUACAAAAGUCCUGAUUGGGCCGUCGAGGCCACCAUGAUAUCUAUACCAAAACUAAAAGCACGUAUAUAUCAAGUUAAUAAAUCAAACAUCUCACAAGCUUCAGUAAACCAACAAACUAGGAUAGUAUGUCCAUAACAUAGCUAUACACCCCACACACUAGUCUGCAAGCCUCUAAGAGUAGUAAAGAUUGGCGGGACAGGGCCCCAGCCUACCCAUAAACAUAUAUACAACAAAAGGUAACAAACCUCCCAACUCUGGAAGCUCCGGAGGAAAGGGGCUAGCCAAUCGGAUAGAAGUCAAUCAUGCUGCUAAGGAAUCAUCUAAAAAGUAUGACCGUUUUUACCCACGAUGGCUACAUGGUUUAUGGAGACUUGAGUUAUUAUGAACUCGUCCUCAUAUCGGUGCUCAAUACUACUCCCAAAAUAUACUCGGCUCAUAUGUUUUAAAAUAAAACUCUCUCUGUGGUUUGAGAUAAUUACUCAAAAACUAGCUCAAAGGUUCUCUUAGAAAUUGGUGUUUCCUCUCUUGUUUAAAUGUGAAAACAUUUACUCUUUUAGAAAUACAUAGUCUUGGUAUACUCUUUUAAAGAAAAGAACUUUGAUCUUCACUCUUUAUUCAACUCAAAACUCAAGUCUUAAAAUAAAGUUAAAAAGUUUGCAAAAGACUUUUGAAAUGACUCUAAGAACUCUCUAGCCUUGGCUCUUAACUUUCCUUGAAUUUGAAUUUAUGGAUUCAAGGAUUGUGAUUUGUGAUAGGAAGGAUCUCAUGAUGUUUAGGAGUGUUUUUAGAUAGUUAAACGUGAGAAACGAUCAAGAAAUUCCUAUCUAGAAACAAGUUCACGACGCGGAGAUGCAUUUAAUUAUUUGAUCGUGAAAUAAAUUUUGAGGCAGAAUGGUCUGUGACUACUUCGCGAUGCGGAGAAAAUUUUGUCAAUCCUAAGGAACAGGUCCGCGACGCUGACCUGGUACCCAGAUUUGCCCGACUUGUUCCUUCUUCGUUUUCUAACACCAAUUCGCCUAAAUUCGAUUCUUUUUCUCAAUUCCUCUUUAGAUUCAGAUACCCAGCACAUGUACACAAGAAUCUAACUCAAAAAAACUCUAACAAUCAACCUUAAACUCUCAAGAACAAAAGCAAUUCAAGAAUACAACUCAAGAACAUCAAAGUCUCAAUCUUUUAGGACGAAAAUCAUACUGAAAUAAACAUGUUUGGCACGUGGGUGAACGAACCCAACGCUAUGUGAACUCACAUACCUCGUAGGAUUGAAUCUUUGGCGAAAACCACAACCAAAAUCGCAAGAACUUGACGAAUCUUUGAACUUUUCUUCUCCUUUCUCCUCUUGAGUUCUUUCUCCAAUAACCCUAGCGUGAUUUGGUAAGGCAUAAACUGAUCUAACUCUGUUUAGACCCAAAUUAAACUUCUAAAAACGAAAUAAAUUAAUUGGGCAUGGAAAAGACCAAAAUACCCCUUUAAAAUCCGGUUUUAACUUUCAUUAUCUAGACAACUCAACUUCAAAUGGGCAUAUAUCCCUCAUACAAACUCGAAAUCAAGCAAACUCGGAGGCGUUGGAAAGAUAAUUCAAAGAUAUUUCCUACGGUAUCUUGUAGCACACCUAACUUAUCCUGAGCUAGGAGUUAUCGCCACUUGAAGUUGACCCAAACUCAAGCUUAGCAUAACUUUAACAAAUUUUCCAGAUUUUUCAUUCUUUCCAAAAAUAACUCUUUCUAAUUCUAGCUCUUUCACUUAGCGAGGUGUUACAAUCACGAACAUAAUUUGGUACUGUGUACGGAUACAUAUCCUUCUAAAUUAGGACAACCGUAGAAGAUACAUAGCAACACUUGAUACAUGAUAAAUGAUACAUUUGGUAGAACUUUUGUAUUAUCAAUGCUAGUUAAGGAUAUCUAUCAAAACUAAUAUUUGAAUACGAUACAUUGUGAAUGAUAAAAAAUUUAAUGCAUCAUAAUGUUGAAACGAAGACAUUAUACAUUAGUUUAAGAAACAAAAUCAACUAGAUACAUUAAAAAUCUGAACCCAUAUGCAUUAGAAAGGACGAACAACAAAGAAUCGAAAAAAAUCAACAAUUUAAUCUGCUGAAAGCAAAAAAAAAAAUGAUGAAGAAAUCCUCCUACACUUUCAUCAUUGAGGGAGUGAAAAUAUGGAGAGAUUAAGGGAGUGACAAUAGGAAGAGAAACGUGUACUUGAGUGUUGAAGCUUUAUGUAUCUGGAACAUUGGGGUUUGGGAGGAAAAAGAUGGAUUUUGGAAAUAUUUUGGAAUGGUAGGAAUAAUGGAAAUUGUGGAAAAUAAAAGUGUGUAUAUAGGUAAUUUUUCUGAAAAAAUUAGUAUUUGAGCCAAGUUCUAAUAUUUGAAAAAAUUUAAAAAUAAAAAAUCGCCCUAAACUUUUAUAUUUUAUCAAAAAAACACCCAUCACUUAUUAGUUCCAACUAAUAUCUAUCUACCAAAUUACUCCUUUAAUAACUAAUAAAUAUUCCUCUCUAUUAUCUAUAUAUAGAACGUGGCUAAGAGAAAUUUUUGUUUUUAAUAGAUUAUAAUUCAUCCUGAAUUAGUGACAAGUUUGAGUAUGCGAUUAAUAUAUUGCUCUUGUCAUAUUGUUGAUUGUUAUCAUUAUAAGGUUAUUUUUUAACAAAACAUAUUCAUCAUAAAAUGAAAAUUCAACCUUAAAGAUAUUUUAAAUAAUUUUUAGAACUUAUUGAUACAAAUCAUAUUUUUUGAAAUGAUCAAAUGUUUCUUCUGAAAUUUAUGGACAAACGUUGUAUCAACAAUAAUGAUACUUGAUCAUAUAAUUUAUGAUUGGUAAAAGGGUCUGAUAUACCCCUCAACUUUGCCAUUUGGAGCUGAUAUACUCCUUGUUAUGAAAGUAACUCAUAUAUACUCCUAUUGUUAUACAAAUGACUCACAUAUACCCUUUUCUUCUAACGGAAAUGAAAAAAUUAACUUUAAUUUAAUUUUUUAAUUAUUUUUUGGAAAAAAAUAUAAUCCAUAUGGGGUAUAUUUGAUCCUCCUCACAUGUAUUUUUUUUACUUUUUUGUUUCAACGACUAAUUUAAAUUUAUUAUUUUGAUGGUCAAAUAUAUUUAUUUUUCACUAAUUUUCUUGUAAAACUUAUUAUAGAUGCCCAUUUUAUUUUUUUUACAAAUACAAAAAUUUAAUUACAAUAUAGCUGAAAAAAAUAGUUUUAAAUUUUUUCUUUACACUAAAGAAUGACUGAAAAAAAAGAAUAAGAAACUCUAAUAAUGAUAAUCAAAGAAGUCAAAAAAUAAUUUUUGAAUGAAAAAAAUUAAAAUAUACCUUGAACUUUGCUAGAAGGAUCAUAUAUAUAGCCCUACAUGAAUUUUUUUUAAAUUUAAAUUCAAAAAAAUAAAAUUAAAACUAAUUUUUUCACUUCCAAUAGAUGAAGGGUAAUGUAAGCUCCUUUCGUAAUAGUAAGCAGGGGCGGAUCUAUAUGUAUGUGUGGGGUGCCACGGCACCCAGUGAUCUCGGUUAAAAUUUCGUAUAUAUAUGUGUAUAUGUUUAAGAAAUCGUUAUAAAUAAAAGUUGCCACCCAUUGAACGAAUUGGUGAUUGGUGCCGUUGGCAAAAGACACAGAUCCAUGCACCCGCAAUGCAGGUCCAAUUCUCACUCUCAACAUUAUAUUUUGGAUGCUUGUAUGAACUGAAGGCUUUCUAAGCUCUUUUUUUUUUUUUUUUUUCCUGUUUUUUCUUGUCUUUUUUUUUCUCGAUUGGUUCUUAUUUAUUUGGUACUAUUCUUUAUUACGUAAUUUAAAUUGACUCCUUUUUUCUGUGAUUAGUUCUUAACUUUUUUUAUUUUCUCUGUCACUAAUUACUGAUCUCUUGAUAUGAAUAUUAUGUGUUUAUUCUUUAUUAAUUAAUGAGUAUUGUAUUAUGAAAGUCACAUAAAUAUUACUACGAAUAUAUUUAAAUUGUUUUUUUUUUAAACAUAAGUUUUAAAAAAUGAUGAAUAUUAUUAUGUUUGAGUUCUUUUAAUUUUAAGGCUAUUCCGAUCUUCACGUUCUUGAUAAGUAAGAUGGUUGGGUUGAAACCAAUUUUUUCUCUACUAUAUUAUAUGCAACAACACAUAAAGACAAUGAAAUACGAAUAUAUUAAGUUAACACAAUUAGAUGGUUUAUACAAAUUUGAAAUUUUAAUGUGGAAAAUCUUUUCUUCCUCAAAGUUUUAGAGAAUGCCUCUAAAUCCAAAAAAAAAAGUUGAAUUGUUUAGUUAUCUCUAAUCUCAGAAUAACUAAAAGAAAAUAUUACUAACAUGCACAUUUAAUCAAUUUAUUUUAUAAAAAUAAAAAAAGAUAAAUAAUCCAAAUUGUAACCCAAAAUUAAAGGAACCGAUCCGUUUAUCUUACUUGGGUGAUGUGGCACCCACGACCUCUAAAUCCUAGAUCCGCCUCUAACAGUAAGGGUAUAUGUGAGUCAUUUGUAUAAUGAUAAGGGUAUCUAUGAGUUACUUUCAUAACGAGGAGUAAAUGACAAAGUUAAGGAAUAUAUCAGACCCUUUUCUCUUUAUUAUACUAGUAUACGUACCAGCGCGUUGCACGAAUAUUUAAAAAUAUAAUAAUUUUUAAAUUUAGAAAAUAACUAAUACAAAUUAUUAGUGAGUAACAAAAGUACAUGUGUAAUCAUAUAUAAUGUUUUAGUUUAUAUAUAUACGCUUCAUGCUAACACAAUUUUACCAUAAUUUAUAUCAAGUUUGUUUUUUGGCAGUUUUAUUUGACAAAAUUUAACAUAAUUAUUUAUCAAAUAAAAAUUAUGUUUUUCUGGAGGUAGUCUUUUUUUAAAAAAAAAAUCAAACUGAAAAAAUUGUUAAUUAUUUUGAUGAGACAUGUGGCUUUAUUUGCAAAAGUAUGAAUUUAUAGUAUUUUAAAUUUAUCCUUCUUAAGAAAUGAUAAUUCGAAAAUCAUUCUAUUACUAACAUAUUUUAUUUUUUUUACAACAUAGAGAUUUGAAAUAUUUAAAGUCAUUUUUAGAUAUAAUACAUGGAUUCACAAACCUUUUAAUCAUGGCAUGAGUCUGAUCUCUGUCUAAAUAAUUAUACACCAAUACAAAUAUAAAACUUAAUACUAUGUAGAAUUUAAAAAGAUAGAUAAAUAAAGACAAAUAAUAAUACAAAUUACAAAUUAGUAGUAUAAUUUUGAGAAAUUAUAUAAAAUUAUAUAUAAAAAUGAUAUGCAUCAACUCAAUGUUAACAUUUUUUUCCUUUGAAUAUUGUGCUAUUCAUGACGAAGACAGUACUUUUGAAAAGAAAAUUGCUUCAUUAAUAUGAGAAAUUGAAAAAAUAUGAUAGUGCGGAGGAAAGGAAAUGGAAAAGUGGGAAUAGUAGGUGGUUUAUAAAAUUGAUUCUUUGUUUUAUUUAUUUUUUACUUAAUACAUAUGCUCAAAUAAAAUGUUUUCUGUAAUAAUAUAUUAGGUAAGGAUAAAAUUAAAAAGUUAUAACAAUUUGUAACCACUUCAUCUUAUAACACUCUUCUCAAUUUUGAAUUAUUAUUAUUAUUUUAUUAAAAAACAAAACUUAUGCAUUAUUUUUAGUAAAACUAAUUAAAUUAUCAAUUCAAAUGUUAAAAAUUCUAUCAAAGACUUUUAAAAAAUUAUAAUUAUUUAUAAUUAUAUAUUUAUCUUUUAAAACUAAUUAAAUUAUUAUAUUGUUGUAAGUUUUCUAUGACUUAAAAAAUAAUCCAUAUAUAGGCCAGGCCACACGUAGGCAGUGGGAGAAUUGUUGUUGUUGUUGUUGUUGUUGUUGUUGUUGUUGUUGUUGUUGUUGUUGUUGUUGUUGUUGUUGUUGUUGUUGUUGUUGUUGUUGUUGUUGUUGUUGUUGUUGUUGUUGUUGUUGUUGUUGUUGUUGUUGUUGUUGUUGUUGUUGUUGUUGUUGUUGUUGUUGUUGUUGUUGUUGUUGUUGUUGUUGUUGUUGUUGUUGUUGUUGUUGUUGUUGUUGUUGUUGUUGUUGUUGUUGUUGUUGUUGUUGUUGUUGUUGUUGUUGUUGUUGUUGUUGUUGUUGUUGUUGUUGUUGUUGUUGUUGUUGUAUUUCUUAUUGUUGUUGUUGUUGUUGUUGUAUUUCUUGUUGUUGUUGUUGUAUUUCUUAUUGUUAUUGUUAUUAUUAUUAUUGUUAUUAGUAUUAUUAGUAUUAUUAUUAUUAGCAUUAUUAUUAGUAUUACUAUUAUUAGUAUUAUUAGCAUUAUUAUUAAUAUUAGUAUUAUUAUUAUUAUUAUUAGUAUUACUAUUAUUAAUGUUAUUAUUAUUAUUAUUAUUAUUAUUAUCAUUACUAUUAUUAUUAUUAUUAUUAUUAUUAUUAUUCUCCCCCUUAUUAUUAUUAUUAUUAUUAUUAUUAUUGUUAUUAUUAUUAUUGUUAUUAGUAUUAUUAGUAUUAUUAUUAUUAGCAUUAUUAUUAGUAUUACUAUUAUUAAUGUUAUUAUUAUUAUUAUUAUUAUUAUUAUUAUUCUCCCCCUUAUAAUAAAAAUGGAUGAUCAAAAAUGUUAAAAAUAAAUAAAUUUUAAAUUUUAAAUUAAUUCUUUUCAAAAUUAAUUAAUUUACCUAAGAAUAUAUACUAUCCAUAAUUGAAUAACCUUCUUAUAUGUUGCAUAUUUUAUGUUCUUGAACCUUUAAUUUUUUAAAGAGAUAUCCAUUUUUAUUUUUAUAAUUAUUUAAGAUUAAAAUAGAUUAUUAAUUUUUGGCGGAAUGGCCUAAGAGUCCCUUGUACUUGACUCGAUUUGUAAGUUGGAUCCCUAUACUUACGACUUUGCCAACUAAACCCUUAAACUCAUUCAAACACAAUAUUUUAGACCCCUUUCUCAUUCGAUGGGUGUGCGUGUAGUACACUCAUUUUACACAUGAAAUACCACGUCAUUUUUUAAUGACACAUCAUUAUCAUUAUUAUUUUUCUAAUGACACAUCAGAAAUUAAAUAUUUAAAAAGAAAUAAAAAAAAUUUUAAAUGCAUCUCUCUCUCUCACUCACUCACUCACUGUACUCAUUUUACCCCCUUCCCACUUCAUCUUCUUUGUUCCCACCUUCUACCAUUUUCAUCCCAAAAAUAAAAACUACAAUUUUCAUCUUUCUUCAUAGUUCACACUUAAAAAUUUCUUCAAUCACAAAAUGUGAUAGAUUAUAAUUAGUUCUUGCAAAUGCUUUAGGAUUCUAUUUAUUUUGAUUUGAUAAAAAGAGAUAUCAAGAAAACUUCAAAUUGAAAAAAAUAUGUGUACAUGUAAAUUCAAGUAAUAGAUCUUAAAGAAUUAAGUUUAUAAAAAUGGUGAAUAAUAUAUUUUCUUGCAAAAAAAAAUUUUAAUUUUUUAUUUGAUGAUUUUAUUGUGAUAAUGUGUACGUCAAAGAUGAAGAAGAAGAAGAGAAAAGGAGUAGGGGCGGGGUAGGGUGGGGAUGGGGGCUGAGGUUGAAGAAGAAGAAGAGAAAAAGGGUGGAGUUGGGUGGGGGCUGAAGAAGAAGAAGAGAGAAGGGGUGGGGUGGAGUGAAGAAGGAGGUUUUCAAUAUUUUUUUAAAAAAAUUAUUAUUAUUGUUUGUCUUAUAAUUUGAUAAAUUUUAAAAUAAAAAUAUUGUAUUCACUUGCUUCAAAAUGCGUGGGGUCACGUAUUUGUCCAACAUAAGCUCGGACAAUGAUUAGAGGGGUUUAAAAAAAUAGAGUUUCAUUGAGUUUAAGGGUUCAUUUGGAAAGGUGAUGAGUAGAAGGGUUCAACUGACAAACGAAGCCAAGUACAGAAGCCUCCCAGGUGAUUCUGCCUUAAUUUUUUCGUGUUUAUUAUUUUGAGUGGAGAUAAAUGAAUUAUUAUGUGCCUAUGAUUUAGGAGAAGAGAUUCUACACUUCUAGGAGUAUUUAAUUAUUAUUUUUUCUUAAAACGUAGCUAUUAAUUAAUUACCUCAAUUUUUGAAAUUCAUCAUUAAAUUAGUGCUCAGAAAUUUAAAACUGAUCUCAAAAAUUUUAAAAAUUAAUUGUAAUAACUUUUGGAGAUAAAUUAAUUAAUUUAAUUGUUAUAGGAGAAAAAAGUUAAUCUUGUAAUUGCUAUUAAUAAUGGGUAAAAAAAGUGAUUUACUCUAUUGUAGUAAAUCAUUUAGUGAGUAUAGAAAUAAAUUUUAAAUUAUAUUGUAUUGAAUAUUUAUGUAAAACAUUGUUAAUAGUAUUCAUAUAGAUUAUCAAAAAUGUAAAAUUAGAAAAUAAAAUCUCAUUAAAUAUAUAAACAAUAAUUAUCAACUUAAAGAUAUUAAGAAGCAUGAGAUCUUUACCACAUUAUGAUAUAUUUUCCAUUAAUAAAAUAAAAUAAAUACAUAGAUUUGGUUAGCUUAUAGAUGAACUUUUGGUAAAUAACUUUUUUUUAUAUUGAGUCUUUAUCUAAUAAUAUCAAUUGCAUCAACAACAAAAUAAACAAUAAUUUUAUAAGAUAUUAUUAUAUUAUCAAAUGAAUGCUACACUUUCAGUAUGUGUAGAUAAUAACUUUGACAAUAUUUCAAAAAUAAGAAUAAAAUUCAGAUUCAAAUUCAAGAAAUUCACACACUAAUCAACCUGCAAAAAAAAAAGUUACAAUCAUUAAAAAUAAUUAAUAAAAAUAGAAAAAAGAAUCAACAAAAAUUAACGAUUUACAAUAAUUAUUGAAAAUAGAUUUUAAUGCUUAAAAAGUUGCAAUAGAUAAAACACAUACACAAAUCUCAUGAUAGUGUUAAUUCUAUAUAUGAAGUUUAUUAUAGUGAUUUUUGUCUCAACAACUACGAAGUCACAUUAAAAGAAGGAGCAAAAUUAAAUCGUCAAAAGAAAAACGAAAAAACGAUAUCAACUUUAAGUAGUAUUUUUCAACAUUUCAAGGAUAAAGAAUAAUAUCAAUUCAACUAUAUAAUUAAAACGACAGAUUAAUUAAAAAUAUUGUAAAUUACUUCUAGUGAUUCGGAAUACCAUAAUCAUAUAACACGAAUAUUCAACUUUUAUUGUAUCUUCAAUAGUUCAUGGACAAAAUAAUUAUGUAAAACUAUAAUUUAUUGAAUACAUUAAAUAAUUAUUAUUUUUUAUGUGUCAAGCUGUAUUAAUUAUACAAAAAUCUUCAUAUUAUCUCACAUCUUAUAUAAACAAAUAAUUAGAAGAGAAUAUUCAUAAAAUUGCAUGGUUUUCACAACAUACAAACGUGGAAAUAAAAUAACCGGCAAAAUUCAAUUUCUAUUCAUGCGAAAUUUGAUCACAUUGGAAUACUUUAUAUACUUUUAUAAAUAAAAAAAGUUAAGGAAGAAACGUAUUCACCAAUAGAUAGAAGAACUAACUAACAUGAAUUAAAGAGAUAUUUAUAAUAAUAAUAAAAAUUAACCUGAAUUAUUUGCUACACAUCUGAAACAUUAAUAAGUAAAAUUCAUGGAGUUUCAUCGUUCAUCUCUUUUUCUGCCAUUUGAAAAUUUUGAAUAUUAGCAUGUCCUAUGAGAUAUGAAGAGAAUUGUGUUUUAAAUAGAUAACUAAGAAGUUUAAACUCCUACAAAAUAGUGAGGAAGUUAAAACUAUUUUCACAACUGCAACUUUUAUCUCUAAAACCGUUUAAUAUUUAAUUUUUAAAUUCAAGUCUUUUAAUUAUUUUAAAAAAACGUGUGUAGGUGUGUUUAUGAGUUAGUGGAGAUUUUUUUUUUAGUUGAGAGAUGGUUUAAAAAAUGUGUUACAACUCUAUUUUUUUAUUACUUCAAUUUUUUUAAUCAGUAAAUAUAGAAUAUAUAUAUUAUAAGUUGUAUUUUUUAAAAAUAUAUAUGUUUAUUUUAAAAUGCAAAUAAGAAAAAAUAAACAGUUACCGUGUUUAAGAUAAUUUUUAAAAUGUUUAAAAUUUUGUGUAUCAAUAAAAAUGGUUUUGCAGUUACAUUUCCCUUAUUUUAAAAAUUAUUUUAAAAUUAUAUAGAUUUAAUUCAUUUUAGAUAUAUAAAAAAUACGCUUUUUGUGGUGCUGACAUGUAGGCGCUAUCACCUCUCAUAUUAUAUAUAGAUAGAUACGUGCUUUGUCAAUCGUAUAAAUGCAAGGCGUCAUGCAUGACAAAAGAAUUAUCCUCAAACAUGUUUUUGUAUCUUUCUUUUGUGGGAAAUUAUAUUACAUUCAAACAUGAAAACGGUAGUGAGUUUGAAUUGUAUAAGGAAUAAACAAAUUCAAUUUAUUAUUGUUUUUCAAAAAAGAGAAUAAAUCAACCGUUUGUAACGAACAUGAUUUAAAAACUGUUUUAAAAUUUUAUUUAGUUUUUAUAUUAUUGUUUAUUAUUUAAUAUGUAUAGAAAUUAAAUUAUUAUUAAUUAUUUAAUAUAAUUAGAAAUUUUGUAGUGCCGACAUGUGGCACUAUUUCCUCUCCUAUUAUAUAUAGAUAGAUACGUGCUUUGUCGAUCGUAUAAAUCCAAGGCGUCAUGCAUGACAAAAGAAUUAUCCUCAAACAUGUUUUUGUAUCUUUCUUUUUCCUCUUUUUUCAAUCUUUACAUGCUCUUUUUAUGGUACACUUUGAAUAAUGGGAGUGACAGUGCCACUUCAUGCAUUACGUUCCCAUUACAAGGAAACUUCUUUGAUUUUAUUUCUAUUUUUUACAAAAAAAAAAAAAAAAACUUAAUUAAUUAACAUUUUAUAAUUUAAUUGGUGAGUUCAAAUUGUCAUUUAGAGCUGAUAUAUUCUUCGUUAUGAUGACUCAUAUAUACAUCUAGCUAUUGUUACACAAAUGACUAACAUAUACCUUUUACCUCUAACAAAAGUGAAAACAUAUUAAUUUUAAAUUAAUUUUUAUUAAUUUCUUAUUAAAAAAUCCAUGUAGGGGUAUAUUUGAUUCUUCUCACACUUUUUUUUUUACUUUCUAAAUUCAGUGGCUAAUUUAAAUUUAUUAUUUUGAUGGUCAAAUUUUUUUCCACUUAUUUUCUUGUAAAAUUUAUUAUAGAUGUCCCAAUUUAUGUUACGAUAUAAAAAAAAUUAAAUUACAAUAUAGCCGUAAAAAGGUAGUUUUAAUUUUUUUUUCUCCUUUUUCAUUCACACUUUUUUUUACACUAAAAAUGAAAGAAAAAAUGAAAUAAGAAUAAGAAAUUCAAAUAAUAAUAAUCAAAGAAGCCAAAAAAAUAAUUUAUGUGUGAAAAAUCAAAUACAUAAAUAUUUUAAUUAUUAAAAAUAAAAAAACAUUAAUUUAAAAUUAUUAUUUAUCACUUUUUGUAGCGGUAGGGGUAUGUGUGAGUCAAUUUUGUAAUGAUAAAUGUAUAUAUGAGCCACUUUUACAGCGAGAGUUAUACCAGCUCUAAAUGACAAAGUUAACGGUAUACUAGACGCUUUUCCCUUAAAUGUAAUUAGUUACACUCUAUUAUAACAAAUAAAUAUAUAUCUUUAUAUUUGAGCAACAAAUAGAAUAAUAAUAUUUUAAUUUACAUAAUCUAAAAAAAAUUGGUGCGAGGGCAAAUAUAAAUUAUUAAUUUUGAAACUAUUAAAUUUAAAAUAUUACUCUCCAAUCUGUAUUAAGUGAUGUUUUUAGCUUAAACCGAUUCAGGAGAGAAGGUGUGAAACCUAAAAGGAGGAGGAAGACUCCACUUCAAUUCAACGUUCUAAAAUAAUAUAAUAUUGACAAGUACUUACACAUCUUCUACGUAAUUUCCCAAUUUCUUGUAUUAAGUGAACAUAUUCUACAGUUAAGUCAUGCUAUUCACACUUGCUUCUACACUAUACCCCUCACUUUUUGAUUUUUCAUAAAUACCUUGAUUAUUUCACAAUCUUAUUUAUAUAUAUAGAUAUACGUCAGAUUUAAUCUCAAAGGCAAUUAAAUAUUUAAUUGUUGAUGCAUUCAAGUUAUUUUGAUAUGAAAGUGGGCAAUUACUUAUUCUCAAACAAGAAUAAUGAUGGGAAUAGUCAUGAUGAUAAUAAUUCUAGGAAUAAUAAGGCAUCAUCAUUGAGGUUGAGAUUCAAAAAUUCGUGUUUGAGGAAGAAGAAGAGGAUAUACAAAUUGCGUAAUUGGUUCAUUGACUCAAUUUUAUUCAAGAUUGUCUCUCUCUUUGAAGCAAUUGUUAUGGUUUCUACCUUAGCUUUCUUCUUAUUCUCUUAUGGUUUUUGUAUUUGAUAUAUUCUCUGUAAACCAAGGGUUCAUUAUUAUUGGACAAAAGUUGAUAUCUAAUGGGGUGUAAGGUUCAUUUGAUUUAUUUAGUUUUCUUUGCUGAUAUUCUCGUGUUU
RNAcentral lists this long non-coding RNA (37111 nucleotides) under Solanum tuberosum (potato). Its description in RNAcentral is "long non-coding RNA (STUB_LNC007935)". The record is from RNAcentral. Lineage: Eukaryota; Viridiplantae; Streptophyta; Magnoliopsida; Solanales; Solanaceae.